UCCCCUUCAUCCGCAACGGAAGCUGCCUUCCUCCUCGCCGCUCUCCCCACCCGCUCGCCAUGCUGCUCCACCUCGUCACCUCCUCCUCACCCCUAACCCCGGCGCGCCCAUCGCCACGUCGGCCGUGCGUCGCAGCGGCGGCAGCAACAGUGAGGUGCGCGGCCUCCUCCUCAGCCCCGUCGCCGCCGUCGUCGUCGGCGUCAUCGGCGGGGCAGCAGGUGGCGAAGGUGCACAGCUACGGGACGGUGGACUACGAGCGGCGUGCGCCACUGCUGUGGGGCACCCUUUACCGUCGCAUCGCGGUGGGGCACGGCGGGCGACCCGUGGAGCGCACGCUGGGGGCCUGGGACGAGGGCGAGCGCCGCCUCGGCAAGUGGGAGCUCUGCUGCAUCGCCAAGGAGCUCCGCAAUUUCCGGAGGUUCAACCUUGCGCUCCAGGUUUAUGAUUGGAUGACACAGAGAGAGAUAUCCGCUCUCAUCAAGUGAUAUGGCAAUCCAGUUGGAUCUGAUUGCUAAGUACGCGGUGUUUCACAUGCUGAAAGAUACUUUGAGGAGCUCCCUGAUGCUCUGAAGGACAAGCGGACAUAUGGUUCCCUUCACGAUAUGAUCUGUCGUUUAGAAAAGUGAAUUCAUCAGAUGGUCCAGCACUUAGAAGGUUUCAUGCUUAAGUAUUUCAAUGCAGAAGCAAGAUUUGAAGUGUAUACCAGAUGGUUCGGUGAUGGAAAGCUGGGCAUGUCGGACUAAUUUUUUCAGAGAUGUUGCAAAUCGUGUCUGGAGGUUUACAGAGCAGGAAGAGAUGUACACAAUGGAUGGUCCGGUGCUUAUGCUGAGGGUGACAUCGGAUCAUCCGAUGUUCAUGUUUUCUGUGUGAUGUGUUUCAAUAGAGAUUUUGAUGAUGGCUAACUGGACUUUAUGCUUAACUAUGGAGUUGGAGAUAUGUGUUUGCUUGUCUUAUGGAGUGCAGGUGAUGGAUGAAACUUGACGAUCGAUGGUGGGAUGAUCGAGGCUAAACGACGUGCUUGGUGCCAGACGAUCAAGGAGGUCAGACGGAGUCAAGAGUGAUCCUAACUGUACACAUGGAAAGCAGGCAAAUCAUGAAAAGACGGACGAAGACGGUUUGUUGAUAAAGUCAAGUGAAAGUGAUGCCCGUGCAAGUGACAAGGCGGGCCGAGGGAUUAGGAGCGGGAGAGACUUGCUGGCGGUUAAGAUUGCAAGAUGGAUACACGUGUCGACAUAGUGAGGCUUGCUUAAGGUGUAAGCAAGUGGUGGUGAUUCAUGCUUUGAGAAGCGUGCAAUGUGGUUUCGUGGUUUGGCCUCAAAAUUGUGGGAAGGAGGAGUGCAUGUGCCAUCAUCACGAAGUUUGCGUCAAGACGAAGCUAAGUCAUAAAGGCGCCACGAUCGUAUGGUAAACGAGAAAAAAUGGAUGAAAAUAUCCUUGGUGGUAAGUAGGAGUGUAUUGAAAGAGAGGGGUAUUUUAAAAAUAAUCUAGGAAACUUAGGGGUCAAGGAACCUUAGCUAUAAAUAGAGAGGAGAGCUGGUUGAGCCCUUUGAGCUAGCCAUUUAAGAGUUAUGUGGUAGAAUUUUAGAAGAGAGAUGAGUGCUUAGGCUAUGUAUUAGAUGAGAGUUUUUUAUAUGUAAAAUACCUUAUAAUCUGCCAAAAAUAGGGAUGCUCUUUGCAAGUAAUGAAGUUCAUGUUGCAUCUUAUGCUUAUGUUCCUCUCUUUCUAGUUUUCCUCUAUUGACUCUAUUGUUUCGUUGCGAGUUUUUCAGUUUUCAUUGAUGGCUGAUGGGUUGGUGCUUGGACAGACACGUAAUCUUGUAAUUUCAAUGUAGGAUAAUAUACUCAUUCCUUUUGAACUAUACAUGCUCUUUUUUAUAUCCGUUGUUCUUCAGUGAUAUAUGCAAUUAUCCUCAGUUCAAGAUGUGUUCAUAUUUGUAAAACAAUAGAUGGAUAAUGGUCCUUUCGAUAAAGCCAAUUGAGAUUCAUUUCAUAAUAGAGUGUUCUGUGACAUAUGUGUUGAGGAAAUAGAUGCUGAAAAUAGACCUCUUGGAAUAUUGACUAACAUAGCAUACAAGAACCUUGGUCAGAAGUUCUUUACAAGGACAAGGAAGCGUCAUUCAAGACUGUGAUUAAAAAACUAAUGGGAUACACUUAAGGGUCUAUACACAUUCCGGUUAACCAUCAAUAAAGCUACUGUACUUGGAUGGGAUAUUGCUAAACAAACAAUUGUAGCUGACAACAAUUGGUGGGAAGUUAACAAAGAAUCAUUAUGAAUGGAAGAAGCUUCGAAAUGGUCCACCUAAGUGACUUUCUGAGCUUGAGAGGAUGUUUGAUUAUAGUGAAGUGGAUGGUUCUUCUUCUUGUGUUCCCAGUGAAGGAGUGAAAGGAAAUGAGAACAAUGGUGAUGAUGAGGAAGUUGAGGAGGAAGAUGGAGAAUCUGAGGAUAGCAACAACACUAGAAAGGCUACCAAUCCACUAAAGCGAGGUGGUAGUAACAAUUGUGUUAAUAGCCUGGGAAAGAAGGGAAAGAACCUCAUGGUUAAGAUAAUGAAAGGCAUAUUGGAUAAUACGCAGUCCACUAUAUGAGUUGUUAGUGUCAAAUUAUGGUUUGAAGUCAACUAGAAGUAUGGGUUCUAUUGAAUAUUUAGGCAUGUUUCUAUGGACCAUUGGUGGUCCAUGGUCAUUUGUCUAAGUUGCAAACCAGUUCGAGAGGUCAACCGAAACAAUUAGUAGGAAAUUCCUUGAAGUGUUGGAUAGUGUCGAUCUUCUUGCACGAGAUCUUAUCAAACCAACGGAUCCAAAGUUCAGGACGGUGCAUGCUAGACUUGAAGAUCCUCGGUUUACACCACAUUUCAAUAACCGCAUAGGUGUAAUAGAUGGUACACAUGUAUCUGUUAGUGUGCCUUCAACAAACUUGGUUGCACAUGUUGGACGUCAUGGAUAUGCAACUCAAAAUGUUUUGGCCAUAUGUG
Molecule: RNA transcript, 2971 nt
Organism: Phragmites australis (common reed)
Lineage: Eukaryota; Viridiplantae; Streptophyta; Magnoliopsida; Poales; Poaceae
Gene name: pentatricopeptide repeat-containing protein At1g02150-like
Exons: 5
Source: RefSeq, a predicted model, not a curated record